GCUGUGAUCAAGGGAAUAAACACACUCCUGAGCACAAUACAUUUACCCUGGCUUGGUUUGUGGCCUCCUGCACUGGUUGGGAAGAAGUGGGAUCAGCAGGGAGAAGUGCUGGGAGAACUUAAUGAUGACUUAAUGUGAGAAGGCUAUUGAAUUUCUGGGACAUUGUUCACAGAAUUAUCUACACUGUUUGAAGGGGUCACUGCAAACUGGUUCCACCUGGCUGCAAACAGCUGUGCUGGUGUAAUUAUGCCAGACUGAUAUGAGAAACGGGCACAAGAAUUGGAUCAUUCAGAAUUUAAGGGUCUCUCUGAUUUUGUUCCACCCAGAAGAGGGGAGAUGUGGUCUGAAACACCAACAGCAGAGCAAUGACCUGUGGAGGGAAGGUGAGGUUCAGUUAUGGAGAAAUGUCAGCAGAUCAGCAACUGGGUCACCACUAAAUUGAUGUAUUCUUACCUUCUGCCUCUGCAAGAGCUGAGGGCAGGGCAGGAUGCAUCUGGAGACGAUUAAUAGCCUAAAUUGACACCCACAAAAUCUCAGCUCCAUGACAUGGGAAGCUCUUCAUCUACACCGAGACCUCAGUGAAGCUGUUCAUUCUCACCUGUGGCUUUGCAGAGACAGAGUAAGAAAUCACUCUCAGAGUCAGAAACCCUUGUCUCUGUGAGUAGCACCAGGUCAGGUAACUCACAUUUGAUCUUGGCACUGUUAUUUGCUGCAGGCCCUUGGCCCAGCUUGCUCCUCUGCUUGCUCCUCCUCUCCUCUGCAGGUACCACCUUGGCACCUCCUAGGUUUGGCUCCACCAGCACAGAGCUGCACCUUACUGUCAGGCCAACAUGGGCAAUCCUCUCACAGCACUCUUCAACAAUUCCAUGAUGGAAAAUCAUUUCAAACCGUGAUAAACUUUUUUUGGUUUUCCAAAAGUAGACUACCUAGCAAGUUUUGCUGUAGGAGUGGUUCCAGUCUCAGCAGAGCACCCUCCUGUUCUCAGGGCCUGGAUCUGCAAAAAGCUUUCUGAGAAGCAGGUCAGAAAGUGCCAAAAUAACCCAUGCUUUUCAAAAUCAUACAGCAACAGUUGAAUAUGCUAGAGAGGAAUCAGGUCAUUGCCUGGUGGCAGAUGGGCUCCCAAAUUCCUGAACUGUUUUAAAUGGUGCUCCCAGGCACUGUUCUUGCUCUCUUCCCCUUGCUUUUCCUGCCCUGGAUCCUGCUGCUGCCUGCAAAAGAGCAAAUGUGUGCAGGAACAACAGGCUUGUUUCAUGGAAACUGUGUCCAUGCUGAAGAUAUGACUCCUCUUAAUGCUUUUGGCAGAUCAAGACCAAAAUACUGAUCAUCUUCAAGAUUGUUAUUGCCCUUGUAUAAUCCAUAUGAUUGCUGAUUAAAUCGAGGAUAUAUUGCAAUUAGACUCUGAUUUGGCACAUGGAAAAAUGGGAGCUGAACAAGCAUGUCAUAAGCAAUGAGGAGUCAGGAAUUUCCCUUGGGACUAAGUGCUCAGUUCUAAGAAUAUCCUUGAAACUCCUGACUUUCAGUUCCAGGUUAUACACCUCCAAGAAGUGCAAGUGCUGCCUGUCAACACUACAGAGCCAGGAGAAAUCCUGUUUUCCCUCCUAUCCUAUUACUCAGCACAGGGUUAGUCAUAACUGCCCAAAAUAAAUGUAACUUUAUAACAUAAGGCCUUCACUAUGCCUUGCUAUCCAUCUCUCUGGAUUAUUUAAUUAUUUCCUUUUCUGCCUUAC
This is a long non-coding RNA of Zonotrichia albicollis (white-throated sparrow), 1727 nucleotides long. RefSeq lists it as uncharacterized. The record is from RefSeq and is a predicted model, not a curated record. NCBI's taxonomy places the organism in Eukaryota, Metazoa, Chordata, Aves, Passeriformes, Passerellidae.